GAUGAACGCUGGCGGCGUGCCUAAUACAUGCAAGUCGAGCGAACGGACGAGAAGCUUGCUUCUCUGAUGUUAGCGGCGGACGGGUGAGUAACACGUGGAUAACCUACCUAUAAGACUGGGAUAACUUCGGGAAACCGGAGCUAAUACCGGAUAAUAUUUUGAACCGCAUGGUUCAAAAGUGAAAGACGGUCUUGCUGUCACUUAUAGAUGGAUCCGCGCUGCAUUAGCUAGUUGGUAAGGUAACGGCUUACCAAGGCAACGAUGCAUAGCCGACCUGAGAGGGUGAUCGGCCACACUGGAACUGAGACACGGUCCAGACUCCUACGGGAGGCAGCAGUAGGGAAUCUUCCGCAAUGGGCGAAAGCCUGACGGAGCAACGCCGCGUGAGUGAUGAAGGUCUUCGGAUCGUAAAACUCUGUUAUUAGGGAAGAACAUAUGUGUAAGUAACUGUGCACUUCUUGACGGUACCUAAUCAGAAAGCCACGGCUAACUACGUG
This 497-nucleotide ribosomal RNA is filed under the name uncultured bacterium. RNAcentral's name for it is "partial 16S ribosomal RNA". It matches the Rfam family "Bacterial small subunit ribosomal RNA", at positions 28 to 507 of the family's 1533-position model. The record is from RNAcentral.